UACGUAGGUGGCAAGCGUUGUCCGGAUUUAUUGGGUUUAAAGGGUGCGUAGGCGGUCUAUUAAGUCAGUGCUGAAAUAUCCCGGCUUAACCGGGAGGGUGGCAUUGAUACUGAUGGACUUGAGUAAAGUUGAGGUAGGCGGAAUUGACGGUGUAGCGGUGAAAUGCGUAGAUAUCGAGAGGAACACCUGCGGCGAAGGCGGGUAGCUGGGCCGACACUGACGCUGAGGCGCGAAAGCCAGGGGAGCGAACGGG
RNAcentral lists this ribosomal RNA (253 nucleotides) under uncultured bacterium. Its description in RNAcentral is "partial 16S ribosomal RNA". It matches the Rfam family "Bacterial small subunit ribosomal RNA", at positions 524 to 776 of the family's 1533-position model. The record is from RNAcentral.